GGGCGCGUAACUCAGUGGUAGAGUGCCACCUUCACACGGUGGAAGUCACAGGUUCAAGUCCUGUCGCGCCCA
RNAcentral lists this transfer RNA (72 nucleotides) under Plesiocystis pacifica. Its description in RNAcentral is "tRNA-Val". It matches the Rfam family "tRNA". Rfam says of the family: Transfer RNA (tRNA) molecules are approximately 80 nucleotides in length. Their secondary structure includes four short double-helical elements and three loops (D, anti-codon, and T loops). Further hydrogen bonds mediate the characteristic L-shaped molecular structure. tRNAs have two regions of fundamental functional importance: the anti-codon, which is responsible for specific mRNA codon recognition, and the 3' end, to which the tRNAs corresponding amino acid is attached (by aminoacyl-tRNA synthetases). tRNAs cope with the degeneracy of the genetic code in two manners: having more than one tRNA (with a specific anti-codon) for a particular amino acid; and 'wobble' base-pairing, i.e. permitting non-standard base-pairing at the 3rd anti-codon position. RNAcentral also lists the same sequence under 1 other name. The record is from RNAcentral. Lineage: Bacteria; Pseudomonadati; Myxococcota; Nannocystales; Nannocystaceae.